GGGCCCGCACAAGCGGAGGAACAUGUGGUUUAAUUCGAUGAUACGCGAGGAACCUUACCUGGGCUUAAAUGUAGAUUGCAUUCCCGAGAAAUCGGGAUUCCCUUCGGGGCUAUUUACAAGGUGCUGCAUGGUUGUCGUCAGCUCGUGCCGUGAGGUGUCGGGUUAAGUCCCAUAACGAGCGCAACCCUUAUCGUUAGUUGCCAGCGGGUAGAGCCGGGGACUCUAGCGAGACUGCCACCGUAAGGUGAGAGGAAGGUGGGGAUGACGUCAAAUCAGCACGGCCCUUAUGUCCAGGGCUACACACGUGUUACAAUGGCCGGUACAAAGGGCAGCUACUCCGCGAGGAGAUGCUAAUCUCUAAAGCCGGUCCCAGUUCGGAUUGGAGUCUGCAACCCGACUCCAUGAAGUUGGAUUCGCUAGUAAUCGCGCAUCAGCCAUGGCGCGGUGAAUACGUUCCCGGGCCUU
RNAcentral lists this ribosomal RNA (465 nucleotides) under uncultured bacterium. RNAcentral describes it as "bacterial SSU rRNA". It matches the Rfam family "Bacterial small subunit ribosomal RNA", at positions 917 to 1382 of the family's 1533-position model. The record is from RNAcentral.